Molecule: ribosomal RNA, 498 nt
Filed under: uncultured bacterium
Lineage: Bacteria
Description: bacterial SSU rRNA
Rfam family: Bacterial small subunit ribosomal RNA
Source: RNAcentral
GAUCAUGGCUCAGGAUGAACGCUGGCGGCGUGCUUAAUACAUGCAAGCCGAACGAAGAUAUUCGCCGAAGUUUACUUCAUUGAGAUAUCUUAGUGGCGGACGGGUGAGUAACGCGUGGGUAACCUGCCUUACACAGGGGGAUAACAGUUAGAAAUGACUGCUAAUACCGCAUAAGCGCACAUUAUCGCAUGAUAGAGUGUGAAAAGAUUUAUCGGUGUAAGAUGGACCCGCGUCUGAUUAGCUAGUUGGUGAGGUAACGGCCCACCAAGGCGACGAUCAGUAGCCGGCCUGAGAGGGUGAACGGCCACAUUGGGACUGAGACACGGCCCAAACUCCUACGGGAGGCAGCAGUAGGGAAUAUUGGACAAUGGGGGAAACCCUGAUCCCAGCGACGCCGCGUGAGUGAAGAAGUAUUUCGGUACGUAAAGCUCUAUCAGCAGGGAAGAAAAUGACGGUACCUGACUAAGAAGCACCGGCUAAAUACGUGCCAGCCGCCGC